This 253-nucleotide ribosomal RNA is filed under the name uncultured bacterium. RNAcentral's name for it is "partial 16S ribosomal RNA". It matches the Rfam family "Bacterial small subunit ribosomal RNA", at positions 524 to 776 of the family's 1533-position model. The record is from RNAcentral.
AACGUGGGAGACGAACGUUAUCCGGAGUUACUGGGCGUAAAGGGCGUGUAGGCGGUUUGUUAAGUCUGGCGUGAAAGCUCUCGGCUAAACCGGGAGAGGUCGUUGGAUACUGGCGAACUAGAGGAUGGUAGAGGCGUGUGGAAUUCCGGGUGUAGUGGUGAAAUGCGUAGAGAUCCGGAGGAACACCAGUGGCGAAGGCGACACGCUGGGCCAUACCUGACGCUAAAGCGCGACAGCAUGGGGAGCAAACGGG